Molecule: long non-coding RNA, 2027 nt
Filed under: Felis catus (domestic cat)
Lineage: Eukaryota; Metazoa; Chordata; Mammalia; Carnivora; Felidae
Source: RNAcentral
CGGGCCUGGUUAGUACUUGGAUGGGAGACCGCCUGGGAAUACCGGGUGCUGUAGGCUUUUGCCUUCGGCCUGUUGCCUCUGGCCUCCUUGACCUCUCCUUUGGCGCCCGCCGCCCCUCCCCCCUCCCUCCGUGUGUCCCUCUCCCCCCGGGGAGCGCGGCUCCGGGGGCCAAACACACCCCGGCCGCUGCUCCCUCAGCCCCUCCCGGGCCGGUUCAGCGGCCUGGCCUGGCCUAGCCUGGCCCCGCCCCGCCACGCCCCGCCCCCCGAGCCCGCACACCCCACGGCACUUCACAAGGGGUCCGCUCGCCGCUCCCCGCUUCCCGCACCAGGCUAAAUCCCACUGCCCCGGCUGGAAGCCACGCCCCGGCUUUGCACCUUUCCCGACACUGCACCCGCACGGAAGGGGUGGGGGGGUGCGGUGAGGGCGGGUCCGGGGGCUGGCGCCUGGGGACUGGAGGGUGGGGGCUGGGUGGGUGGAUACAAGAACCCAGGAGCGGGCGGGGCAGCGAGACCCCAGACUCAGAUUCCGCCACAGGCCUGGGCUCCCUGGGUCCCGGACCUCUUCCCUCCCUGGAGCCCUCAUCCCCAGGGUCCCCGGCGUUGCGCGAGGCCCAGCUAGGGCAGCGGGCCCGGGCUGGUGAUGUUCUCUGGGGGCGCUGGGGCCUCCGGUGUGGCCUUGCAUCAGUGAGCGGCCCGACGUGGUGCGGUGCGGUGCGGUGCGGUGCGGGAUGCAAGCGGAGGCGGGCGUGGGGCCAAGCCAGGAGCAGCCUGCAAGAGUCCCGGGACCGGCGAAGGCCGUGGCUUGCGCCACAGCGCCUUGCCGGGGUCCUCUUGGGCCGCUUCCGCCACCCGCCCGGGGCCCGCGGCGGAGGGCGGCGGCAGCCAGGCAGGCAGGCAGUCAGGCGCGUGCACGGCUGGAGCGCGGCACCGCUGAGUUGGGACGCCUGGAGCAGGCUCUUGAGGCGCCCAGCGGCAGCGGCCGGCGUCUACGGCCAUACCACCCUGAACGCGCCCGAUCUCGUCUGAUCUCGGAAGCUAAGCAGGGUCGGGCCUGGUUAGUACUUGGAUGGGAGACCGCCUGGGAAUACCGGGUGCUGUAGGCUUUUGCCUUCGGCCUGUUGCCUCUGGCCUCCUUGACCUCUCCUUUGGCGCCCGCCGCCCCUCCCCCCUCCCUCCGUGUGUCCCUCUCCCCCCGGGGAGCGCGGCUCCGGGGGCCAAACACACCCCGGCCGCUGCUCCCUCAGCCCCUCCCGGGCCGGUUCAGCGGCCUGGCCUGGCCUAGCCUGGCCCCGCCCCGCCACGCCCCGCCCCCCGAGCCCGCACACCCCACGGCACUUCACAAGGGGUCCGCUCGCCGCUCCCCGCUUCCCGCACCAGGCUAAAUCCCACUGCCCCGGCUGGAAGCCACGCCCCGGCUUUGCACCUUUCCCGACACUGCACCCGCACGGAAGGGGUGGGGGGGUGCGGUGAGGGCGGGUCCGGGGGCUGGCGCCUGGGGACUGGAGGGUGGGGGCUGGGUGGGUGGAUACAAGAACCCAGGAGCGGGCGGGGCAGCGAGACCCCAGACUCAGAUUCCGCCACAGGCCUGGGCUCCCUGGGUCCCGGACCUCUUCCCUCCCUGGAGCCCUCAUCCCCAGGGUCCCCGGCGUUGCGCGAGGCCCAGCUAGGGCAGCGGGCCCGGGCUGGUGAUGUUCUCUGGGGGCGCUGGGGCCUCCGGUGUGGCCUUGCAUCAGGUGGGCGGACGGGAGGGAAAGGCCGGGGAGGGGGGGGGGCGGGGGCUGGCCGGGCUCGCCCUGAGACUGGGGAGGAGGCGCUGAGAGCCCGGCGAGGGGUGGGGGGCCCAGAAGGCACGGCCGGCCGGAUGCCCCACGCUCGCUUCCACCCUCUUCCCAGUGAGCGGCCCGACGUGGUGCGGUGCGGUGCGGUGCGGUGCGGUGCGGUGCGAUGCGGUGCGGGAUGCAAGCGGAGGCGGGCGUGGGGCCAAGCCAGGAGCAGCCUGCAAGAGUCCCGGGACCGGCGAAGGCC